RNAcentral lists this ribosomal RNA (485 nucleotides) under uncultured bacterium. RNAcentral's name for it is "bacterial SSU rRNA". It matches the Rfam family "Bacterial small subunit ribosomal RNA", at positions 70 to 563 of the family's 1533-position model. The record is from RNAcentral.
AUGGAAUCUUCGGAGGAAAGAAGUGAUAGAAAGCGGCGGACGGGUGAGUAACGCGUAGGUAACCUGCCCCAUACAGAGGGAUAGCCACUGGAAACGGUGAUUAAUACCUCAUGACACUUUCUCUUCGCAUGGAGGGAAGGUCAAAGAUUUAUCGGUAUGGGAUGGACCUGCGUCUGAUUAGCUUGUUGGUGGGGUAACGGCCUACCAAGGCGACGAUCAGUAGCCGACCUGAGAGGGUGAUCGGCCACAUUGGAACUGAGACACGGUCCAAACUCCUACGGGAGGCAGCAGUGGGGAAUAUUGCACAAUGGGGGAAACCCUGAUGCAGCAACGCCGCGUGAAGGAAGAAGGCCUUUGGGUCGUAAACUUCUGUUCUGAGGGAAGAAGAAAGUGACGGUACCUCAGGAGAAAGCCCCGGCUAACUACGUGCCAGCAGCCGCGGUAAUACGUAGGGGGCAAGCGUUGUCCGGAAUUAUUGGGCGUAA